RNAcentral lists this ribosomal RNA (1171 nucleotides) under uncultured Thelephoraceae. Its description in RNAcentral is "eukaryotic LSU rRNA". The stretch from base 527 to 1171 matches the Rfam family "Eukaryotic large subunit ribosomal RNA", at positions 1 to 619 of the family's 3401-position model. Lineage: Eukaryota; Fungi; Basidiomycota; Agaricomycetes; Thelephorales; Thelephoraceae. The record is from RNAcentral.
UGUACCCCAUCCACAUCCACACUGAGGCACCUUGUUUUGGAUCUAUGGAUUAAGGGGAAACCUUGUCUCCCUUACCAUAAUUUAGCAACUUUACUCGCACUCUUACCGUUAUUCUAGUUCCAUGGAUGCAUACAGCGUUAACCCAAUAAAGUACAACUUUCACCACGGAUCUAUGGUCUAGCAUCGAUGAGAACGCAGCGAAAUGAGAUAAGUAAUCGAAGUGCAGAAUUCAGUGCAUCGUCGACUCUGUAACGCACCUGGCGCCCUUUUGUCAUUCUGAAGGGCAUGCCUGUUGAGCAUCAUGAUCACUCAACUAUCAUGGCUUGCCAUGAUGAGCUUGGACUUGGGAGGCUUUAGCUGGCUCGCGGUCGGAUCCUCUCAAACGAAUCAGCUUUCCAGUGUUUGGUGGCGUCACAGGUGUGAUACUAUCUACGCUUGUGGGUUGCAUGCCAGGUAGCCUGUUCCGACGGAGGCUCGCUGGAGCUUAUAGAUGCUUUGUGCCAGUGAGGAAAGCACUUUGAACGUUCGAUGUCAAAUCAGGUAGGGUUACCCGAAGAAUUUAAGCAUAUCAAUAAGCGGAGGAAAAGAAGGUUUCAAGGAUUCCCUUAGUAACUGGGAGUGAAGCGGGAAGAGCUCAAAUUUAAAAUCUGGCGUGCCUCGGGUCGUCCGAGUUGUAGUCAGGAGAAGCGUUUUCCGCGUUGGGCCGUGUAUAAGUCUAGGGAACAGGGCGUCAUAGAGGGUGAGAAUCCCGUCAGGACACGGACUGCCAAUGCUUUCUGAUGCGCUCUCAAAGAGUCGAGUUGUUUGGGAAUGCAGCUCAAAAUGGGUGGUAAAUUCCAUCUAAAGCUAAAUAUAGGCGAGAGACCGAUAGCGAACAAGUACCGUGAGGGAAAGAUGAAAAGCGAGAGGAAAGAGAGUUAAACAGUACGGGAAAGGAAGAAAGGGAAACGCUUGAAGUCAGUCGCAUAAGCCGGGACUCAGCCUUGCUUUUGCACGGUGUACUUUCCGGUUGGAUGGGCCAACAUCAAUUUUGUCCGUCGGAGAAAGGCGUUGGGAACGUGGCGCCGUUGGGUGUCCUUAGCCCUUUGUUGUGUACGGCGGGGGGAUGAGGCCUGCACCAUGCGUCUUGGCCGGGGUGCGCCCACGUACGGCAUAUGAGUGUCAACAUUCA